UACGUAGGGUGCUAGCGUUGUCCGGAUUUAUUGGGCGUAAAGGGCUCGUAGGCGGCGUGUCGCGUCGGGAGUGAAAGCCCGCUGCUUAACGGCGGGUUGGCUUCCGGUACGGGCAUCGCUGGAGUGCGGCAGGGGAGACUGGAAUGCCUGGUGUAGCGGUGGAAUGCGCAGAUAUCGGGAAGAACACCCGUGGCUAAGGCGGCUCUCUAGUACGGUACUGACGCUGAGACGCGAAAGCGUGGGGAGCGAACAGG
This 254-nucleotide ribosomal RNA is filed under the name uncultured bacterium. RNAcentral's name for it is "partial 16S ribosomal RNA". It matches the Rfam family "Bacterial small subunit ribosomal RNA", at positions 524 to 776 of the family's 1533-position model. The record is from RNAcentral.